UCUAGUUUUGGGGCCAUGGAGGAGCAGCUGCUCCCAUCGGAUCUGGGGAAGGAGGACGCUCACCACCACCACGCUGCUCAACCUCACCGCCAUGAUUAUGUUGCCAAGGUGACCUCUUUCUCCCCCUCUUCCUCUGUUCGUCUCGAUUCUUGGCUCCCUUCCCUCCCUGAUGCGGUUGGUUUCCUCACACGAGCAGACCACCAUAUGGUGGAGUCCUCUUCCACUCCGACGACUCCCACUGGUGGCCUCGGUUCUGCUUCCUCCCUGACAUUAGGCGGUAAGCCACUACUCUCUCUCUCUCUCUCUGCUUUGUGUCCACGGCCAGAGAGCCACGGUGAAAUUUUGUGCAGGCCAUCGAGCCAUAGGGUUUCGAGUUGUUUCAAGCCAAUUAAAACAUUCAUCCUGAGAUUGCGGGUGUGUAGUGUUCCCCUUGCCGGUGUGAUUGCCGACGUGGCCUGAAUAGCUUCGUCAGCAAGAAGAAAACUGAGAGAGAAGAGACUGAGUGGAAAGUUCAUAAAUGUUCAGUCAUUUUCAGUCUGCUCCCUUCACAAUGUUCAGUCAUUUUCAGUACUUUGCACAAAUGUUCUGGCCUGGCAAAUGAUUUUUGAUGUGCAAAAGGGUAGUUGCUUUUUGGCAUGGUCUUGGCGUAAAUAUUGAUCGUCAUACCUAGGAACAGAAAAAAAAGUUUUUCACAUUUUUUUUCUGCUGAAUCAUUAGCUCAUCAAGUUGUUUGCCCGUCACUCGCCUCUCUUGCUGUUUCAGCAUGAGGCACAAUCUGAAGUACUGAAAAUUAGUAAAUCAUGCGCAUUUAGUUUUAGCACUGAGUCUCAGAUCAUGCGUACAAAGUACUACUACUACUACUACUACUAGAACUAAUGGCGCUGGAGGUGUCUUGAUGCAUAUGUUGAACAUUUGGAAGAUUGCUUCGGAUAUCUAAAAAUCUAUAUUUCUUUCCAGCGCAAAAUCUAUCAAGUUCAUGUACUCAAUUACAACUGUCAUGUCGUGACUGUGGUGUCUGGACUUCUUGCACAAGCGCAGCCUCUAACCUAGUGAGCUCCUUUCCCCAAUUAGUUUUACUAGUCGUCAACCCGUGCAUCUGCACGGGCUAGCACUUGCAGUAUUUUUCGCAAGAGAGAGUUUGUAUGAAUUAUAAAAAAAACUCAUAUUGUUUUAGUAUUUGUCUUUAGAUAUGCAAAUAAAUUGUUUACCUUUAUUAGACAUAGACAGGAGGAGUCACAUACCUUCCUCCAAUUUGUAAUUAGAUCAUAUGUUCGUUACCUCUAAUACUCAACUGUGUCACAAUGUAUGCAUAUUUCGUUGUGUCAUAGGAUAGUACACCCUUAGAUUUAGACCGGAUUUGAAAAUAUGAGCAUGUGAUAUUACGGUCAGAUAAUUAGUGCAUCCAUGGAGAAAAAUAGUUGCAAAUGAAAAACUCAAUACAUGAUUCCUUUACUAAUUUUUGGAAGUCUAUAGAAGCCCCCAAAAUGAAAUGUGUUGGUGUCGCAUAUGUCGUACUUCUCCGGAUAACAAAACGAUUGAGCCUGAUUGAGUUAAUUUGAUCUUAAAAUAUGCAAAAUACACUGAUAAAACAUUUUACGGAUUAAUAUUGACAUAUACAACAUGCAUAAGUAGAAGUGCACUACAUGGAACAACAAUAAUAAUCCAGUUCCGUUUGAUUAAAAAUGAUGUUGAAAAUAGUGGAUCCCUGCACGGUGUUCUAGCGUUUCAUAUUCUCUCGGCCCAUUACAUUUUGCGAGGUUUAUUUUACUACCAUUUUUAGUGAUAGUGGAAACAUUUAACUGCAGUUUACAUGCUUCUCUAAACGUCUAGAUUUAUGCUUUCAACAUUGACGGGGAUAUUUUUUAUCAUUUUUUAAAGCAGUUGUACUUUGGAUACACGCUGAGUUUGCCGCAGUAAGUAUUCCUAUUUAUUGGUAUUUUUAAUAGUUAGUUUCACGUAUUUAUAAGGCCACAAAAAGGAUAUAAUCAUGCUUUAGAUACCGGUAAUUAUCAGCAACCCCACACUUGCAAACAAUCAGGAAUUCCUACUCAGGGAGUAUCAUGCAAAAUACUCCCUUUGUUUCUAAAUAUAAGUCCUUUGAGAGUUUUAAAUAGAAACUACAUAUGGAUGUAUAUAGACGUAUUUUAGAGUGUAGAUUAUCUUAUUUUGCUCCGUAUGUAGUUUAUAUUAGAAUCUCUAAAAAGACUUAUAUUUAGGAAUGGAGAUAGUAGGAGAGACCGUACCUCCCAAAACUACAGUGCAUGCAAGAGAAUUAAAAAAUUGUCUAAUACUUUGCAUGAACCAAACCUGCAUGAUGAUCUGUUUGCAUCUGGGACAUCGUAUGUAUUGUGCCAUGUAAGGUGUACCUCUGUGUCUAGUCUGAAGCCGGUAUUCCAGACAGCAUGGAGAAGACCAAUGAGUUCGAUGCCUUGGUGCAGCAGGAAAGGCCAAGCGACUGAAUCUUCAAAGGGAAGACGUGGAAGGCAUGGUAAAAUCUGUACGUGAUAGACAACAUGCAUGGACUCUCUAUGUAUUUGAUCCAACGCUUGUAAACAGAAAAUACAGAGAUUGAAUGGAUGGUUUGCUCU
RNAcentral lists this long non-coding RNA (2588 nucleotides) under Triticum aestivum (bread wheat). Its description in RNAcentral is "long non-coding RNA (TAES_LNC005715)". The record is from RNAcentral. Lineage: Eukaryota; Viridiplantae; Streptophyta; Magnoliopsida; Poales; Poaceae.